Molecule: ribosomal RNA, 465 nt
Filed under: uncultured bacterium
Lineage: Bacteria
Description: partial 16S ribosomal RNA
Rfam family: Bacterial small subunit ribosomal RNA
Source: RNAcentral
GACGAACGCUGGCGGCGUGCUUAACACAUGCAAGUCGAACGGAAAGGCCCUGCUUGCCGGGUACUCGAGUGGCGAACGGGUGAGUAACACGUGGGUGAUCUGCCCUUCACUUCGGGAUAAGCCUGGGAAACUGGGUCUAAUACCGGAUAGGAGCCAUUUUUAGUGUGAUGGUUGGAAAGUUUUUUCGGUGUAGGAUGAGCUCGCGGCCUAUCAGCUUGUUGGUGGGGUAAUGGCCUACCAAGGCGGCGACGGGUAGCCGGCCUGAGAGGGUGGACGGCCACACUGGGACUGAGAUACGGCCCAGACGCCGACGGGAGGCAGCAGGGGGGAAUAUUGCACAAGGGGCGCAAGCCUGAUGCAGCGACGCCGCGUGGGGGAUGACGGCCUUCGGGUUGUAAACGCCUUUCGCUAGGGACGAAGCUUUUUGUGACGGUACCUAGAGAAGAAGCACCGGCUAACUACGUG